AGAGAACAAAAGUACCUUCUAGCUGCGUGCUUAUCCAAACUGCUGACAAAUGACAUCCUUCCUAAUGCUACAAAUGUCAAAGGCUUUCUGUUUGGACAAUCAGGCCUGUCAGUGGUGGCUCUGAAGAACACACAAAGAUGCUGGGAAGUCUAUCAGACUUUUUGUAGUGUCCUUGCAAGAGAUGACCAGACCAUGACCUGCAGACACCUGCUGUGGAUGUUUAAGGAUCUCCGUCUGUUGGAUGAUCAGCUGACCACAGCGAGGUUACUGAAGAUCAUCAAAGCAGAUAGCCGAGACCCCGACAACCUGUCCUCUUGCCUGGAUCUGGAGAUUACAUUCCUGGAGUUUUUUGAUGUGCUUCUGGGCUGUGCUGAGGUGAAAUCUCAGUGUGGUUCUGAAACUGUGAUGGAGCACCAGAACUUGUCCAGAUCUAAUGCUGAC
Molecule: long non-coding RNA, 441 nt
Filed under: Echeneis naucrates (live sharksucker)
Lineage: Eukaryota; Metazoa; Chordata; Actinopteri; Carangiformes; Echeneidae
Description: lncRNA (ENSENLG00000019278.1)
Source: RNAcentral